ACGGGGGAUGCAAGCGUUAUCCGGAUUUAUUGGGUUUAAAGGGUGCGUAGGCGGUUUGAUAAGUCAGCGGUGAAAUAUUUCAGCUUAACUGAAAGGGGGCCGUUGAUACUGUCAGGCUUGGAUAUGGGUGCUGUGGGUGGAACGUGUGGGGUAGCGGUGAAAUGCUUAGAUAUCUCACAGAAUAUCGAUUGCGAAGGCGUCUCACAAAGCCAUUAUCGACAGUGAUGCACGAAAGUGUGGGGAUCAAACAG
RNAcentral lists this ribosomal RNA (251 nucleotides) under uncultured prokaryote. RNAcentral describes it as "partial 16S rRNA". It matches the Rfam family "Bacterial small subunit ribosomal RNA", at positions 525 to 775 of the family's 1533-position model. The record is from RNAcentral.